Molecule: ribosomal RNA, 447 nt
Filed under: uncultured bacterium
Lineage: Bacteria
Description: bacterial SSU rRNA
Rfam family: Bacterial small subunit ribosomal RNA
Source: RNAcentral
GAUGAACGCUGGCGGCGCGCCUAACACAUGCAAGUCGAACGGCACCCCUCUCCGGAGGGAAGCGAGUGGCGAACGUCUGAGUAACACGUGGAGAACCUGCCCCCUCCCCCGGGAUAGCCGCCCGAAAGGACGGGUAAUACCGGAUACCCCGGGGUGCCGCAUGGCACCCCGGCUAAAGCCCCGACGGGAGGGGAUGGCUCCGCGGCCCAUCAGGUAGACGGCGGGGUGACGGCCCACCGUGCCGACAACGGGUAGCCGGGUUGAGAGACCGACCGGCCAGAUUGGGACUGAGACACGGCCCAGACUCCUACGGGAGGCAGCAGUGGGGAAUCUUGCGCAAUGGGGGGAACCCUGACGCAGCGACGCCGCGUGCGGGACGGAGGCCUUCGGGUCGUAAACCGCUUUCAGCAGGGAAGAGUCAAGACUGUACCUGCAGAAGAAGCCCCG